Quercus robur (English oak) is the source of this 381-nucleotide long non-coding RNA. RefSeq lists it as uncharacterized. The record is from RefSeq and is a predicted model, not a curated record. NCBI's taxonomy places the organism in Eukaryota, Viridiplantae, Streptophyta, Magnoliopsida, Fagales, Fagaceae. The transcript is spliced from 3 exons.
GGAUCAUUUCUUGAGAGAAGAGUUACUGGAUUACGUAGAGUAAGGAUACUAAACAAAAAUGAUGCCGAAGAUUUCACAGAUUAUACAUGGGGAUACCAGCUAAUUCCAUGCAAUAAUUUCAUGGAGGUUGGGCUGUCAGGAGAGAAAUUAAAUAUUCACACAGAACAAGGGUCAAGUAAUAUUCAAUGGAGAAGGUUUGGAAACUCUAAUCAUCAAAGACUCACAUGGUACAAGACUCAAUUUGAUGCACCCAAAGGAAAUGACCCUGUUGCAUUAAACCUUGGUUCUAUGGGAAAAGGGGAAGCUUGGGUUAAUGGACAAAGUAUUGGGCAAUAUUGGGUCUCAUUUCUUACCCCAGAAGGGAGUCCUUCACAAACAUGG